Molecule: small nucleolar RNA, 66 nt
Organism: Pygocentrus nattereri (red-bellied piranha)
Lineage: Eukaryota; Metazoa; Chordata; Actinopteri; Characiformes; Serrasalmidae
Source: Ensembl
CUGCAAUGAUGUCUUGAAUUUCUUCACCUGAAUUCACUGUGAAGAAAAAAUUUAACCCUGAGCAAC